This 1529-nucleotide ribosomal RNA is filed under the name Klebsiella pneumoniae. Its description in RNAcentral is "16S ribosomal RNA". It matches the Rfam family "Bacterial small subunit ribosomal RNA". Lineage: Bacteria; Pseudomonadati; Pseudomonadota; Gammaproteobacteria; Enterobacterales; Enterobacteriaceae. The record is from RNAcentral.
UCCAGAGUUUGAUCAUGGCUCAGAUUGAACGCUGGCGGCAGGCCUAACACAUGCAAGUCGAGCGGUAGCACAGAGAGCUUGCUCUCGGGUGACGAGCGGCGGACGGGUGAGUAAUGUCUGGGAAACUGCCUGAUGGAGGGGGAUAACUACUGGAAACGGUAGCUAAUACCGCAUAACGUCGCAAGACCAAAGUGGGGGACCUUCGGGCCUCAUGCCAUCAGAUGUGCCCAGAUGGGAUUAGCUAGUAGGUGGGGUAACGGCUCACCUAGGCGACGAUCCCUAGCUGGUCUGAGAGGAUGACCAGCCACACUGGAACUGAGACACGGUCCAGACUCCUACGGGAGGCAGCAGUGGGGAAUAUUGCACAAUGGGCGCAAGCCUGAUGCAGCCAUGCCGCGUGUGUGAAGAAGGCCUUCGGGUUGUAAAGCACUUUCAGCGGGGAGGAAGGCGUUAAGGUUAAUAACCUUGGCGAUUGACGUUACCCGCAGAAGAAGCACCGGCUAACUCCGUGCCAGCAGCCGCGGUAAUACGGAGGGUGCAAGCGUUAAUCGGAAUUACUGGGCGUAAAGCGCACGCAGGCGGUCUGUCAAGUCGGAUGUGAAAUCCCCGGGCUCAACCUGGGAACUGCAUUCGAAACUGGCAGGCUAGAGUCUUGUAGAGGGGGGUAGAAUUCCAGGUGUAGCGGUGAAAUGCGUAUAGAUCUGGAGGAAUACCGGUGGCGAAGGCGGCCCCCUGGACAAAGACUGACGCUCAGGUGCGAAAGCGUGGGGAGCAAACAGGAUUAGAUACCCUGGUAGUCCACGCCGUAAACGAUGUCGAUUUGGAGGUUGUGCCCUUGAGGCGUGGCUUCCGGAGCUAACGCGUUAAGAUCGACCGCCUGGGGAGUACGGCCGCAAGGUUAAAACUCAAAUGAAUUGACGGGGGCCCGCACAAGCGGUGGAGCAUGUGGUUUAAUUCGAUGCAACGCGAAGAACCUUACCUGGUCUUGACAUCCACAGAACUUWCCAGAGAUGSWUUGGUGCCUUCGGGAACUGUGAGACAGGUGCUGCAUGGCUGUCGUCAGCUCGUGUUGUGAAAUGUUGGGUUAAGUCCCGCAACGAGCGCAACCCUUAUCCUUUGUUGCCAGCGGUYMGGCCGGGAACUCAAAGGAGACUGCCAGUGAUAAACUGGAGGAAGGUGGGGAUGACGUCAAGUCAUCAUGGCCCUUACGACCAGGGCUACACACGUGCUACAAUGGCAUAUACAAAGAGAAGCGACCUCGCGAGAGCAAGCGGACCUCAUAAAGUAUGUCGUAGUCCGGAUUGGAGUCUGCAACUCGACUCCAUGAAGUCGGAAUCGCUAGUAAUCGUAGAUCAGAAUGCUACGGUGAAUACGUUCCCGGGCCUUGUACACACCGCCCGUCACACCAUGGGAGUGGGUUGCAAAAGAAGUAGGUAGCUUAACCUUCGGGAGGGCGCUGUACCACUUUGUGAUUCAUGACUGGGGUGAAGUCGUAACAGGGUAACCAUAUGGGAACCUGCUGCUGGAUC